RNAcentral lists this long non-coding RNA (1608 nucleotides) under Canis lupus familiaris (dog). Its description in RNAcentral is "lncRNA (ENSCAFG00030004388.1)". Lineage: Eukaryota; Metazoa; Chordata; Mammalia; Carnivora; Canidae. The record is from RNAcentral.
AUAAAAAGAAAAGCCUAAUCACAUGAGUAUAGAGAGUAAUGGGAAUAAGAGACAGACAUCAUACUUAUGCAUUUUUAAACUCUCAAUUUUAUUCAUUUUGUGGAAAUUACAUCUUAACUAAUAUCUACUCAAUGCUCAGAAUAGCCUGAAGAUAAAAACAAAGUAUUUGGAAUAAAGGCCACUCUGGGCAACCCAGCUGGUGUGAGUGAGUUGAAUUACUAAAAUCUCCAGUGCCAUGAUCCUCAAGGCCUAAUUAACUUCUGUGAGAAAUGAAUAUUUCCUGGGGAUUUACUGUCUUGACAUAAUUCAAGCCCUCAUAGCUAUUAACAAUGAGUGAUCUCAAAUGGAGCAAUGGAUUACAGGGCCACAGUAUCAGUUUUUAAUGUGCAAUACAAUUAAUUUAGGGGUCAUAUACUUGUUGAAUGAAACUACUGGGUGAAGUGUAAUUAGUUGUAAUGUUUAGGCUUACAUAUUUUAUUUGCUUUGGAUUUUCACAUGUUUCCUGUGCAUGAGUGCCAUUACUGUUUUCUUUCUUUCUUAUACUUCUUCAGUGAAGACGCUAGUUUUGCAGUCAUAUUUUUAAGGAAGAUACCUGGGACAUGAUACAUAUUAAUAGACAUUUUAUUUAUGAAUAUUUCUAGUUUUUAGAGACUUUUUAAAAUUGGAAUAAUAUAUCUUAUGCCAGGAAAUGUUAGCCAGUAGAUUUGGAUAUUUGUGUCAGUUCUAUACAGUUACUGCUCCCUGAGAUUGAAUAUAUCUACCUAGAAUCUGUACAUUAUUCUGGCUCUCUUUAGUAACACCUGAUGCCUCUCAGGCUCCAGAAAAGAAUUCCAACUGUAUUUCCGAAGUACACACUAUUUUAUGUACUGAACCUAAAGAUAAUUUGAUCACCAGGGAUAACAUACAACUCACAGCAAUCUUUUCUUUCUCUUUUUUUUUUUUCUAGCUGCCAAGAAACUCACACUAAAUUUGAACUUUGAUCCUUACAAAUAUAUUGACCCUAUCAUUGAAGUUUGGAGUAGAAAGUUUUUGAGUUGGAAAUGCUCACUUAAUAAAGAAGGACACUAGGAUACAAAAUUAAGUAACCUGACAUACCACAGAUACUUGGUGGUAGUUACAUUAAAUUAUAUUAAAGAAAUACAGUAUGAUGUUGGAUAAGGAUCCUAUGAAAACAAUUUAACCAAUGGAAAGCAUUUCCUUAUAAUUUUUCUAGUUAUAUAGUCUUGAGAUCAGCAAAGAAGAUAGUCCACUACAAAUAUAAUUUUCAAAAUUUUACUGGUCUUUUUCAUAGUUUUGUUUUCUAUAAGACUUAUAGGCUGAUUACUUUCUUUUAAUAACUAACAUCUUAAUUAAACCUACAUAGAACCUAAUUCUAAGAGUGAUAAGAAAAAUUCUGGUACUAAAAUUAGUUAUGAAACAUAGCAAGAACUUUUAUACCAAGUUUUAUUUAACUUUGAUGGUUAAUCAUGGAAAUGAUGGUUAAUAUUUGAAACAUGGCAACUUAAAUAUCAAAAUGCAUCAAAGGCCUCAAACUUUUAAUUAUGCUUUAUCCUUCAAUAUUUAUUUGUCAAUACUCCAAGUAAGCAAACACAGGUAUAAUUUUUAACA